GCGGUGGAUGAUGUGGUUUAAUUCGAUGCAACGACGAAAACCUUACCCACCUUUGACAUGGCAGGAAUCCCGAAGAGAUUUGGGAGUGCUCGAAAGAGAACCUGCACACAGGUGCUGCAUGGCUGUCGUCAGCUCGUGUCGUGAGAUGUUGGGUUAAGUCCCGCAACGAGCGCAACCCUUGCCAUUAGUUGCUACGAAAGGGCACUCUAAUGGGACUGCCGGUGACAAACCGGAGGAAGGUGGGGAUGACGUCAAGUCCUCAUGGCCCUUAUAGGUGGGGCUACACACGUCAUACAAUGGCCGGUACAGAGGGUAGCCAACCCGCGAGGGGGAGCCAAUCCCACAAAGCCGGUCGUAGUCCGGAUCGCAGUCUGCAACUCGACUCCAUGAAGUUGGAAUCGCUAGUAAUCGCAGAUCAGCACGCUGCGGUGAAUACGUUCCCGGGCCUU
This 449-nucleotide ribosomal RNA is filed under the name uncultured Allobrachymonas sp. RNAcentral's name for it is "bacterial SSU rRNA". It matches the Rfam family "Bacterial small subunit ribosomal RNA", at positions 929 to 1382 of the family's 1533-position model. Lineage: Bacteria; Pseudomonadati; Pseudomonadota; Betaproteobacteria; Burkholderiales; Comamonadaceae. The record is from RNAcentral.